This 684-nucleotide ribosomal RNA is filed under the name Pseudomonas sp. RNAcentral describes it as "bacterial SSU rRNA". It matches the Rfam family "Bacterial small subunit ribosomal RNA", at positions 28 to 706 of the family's 1533-position model. Lineage: Bacteria; Pseudomonadati; Pseudomonadota; Gammaproteobacteria; Pseudomonadales; Pseudomonadaceae. The record is from RNAcentral.
AUUGAACGCUGGCGGCAGGCCUAACACAUGCAAGUCGAGCGGUAGAGAGAAGCUUGCUUCUCUUGAGAGCGGCGGACGGGUGAGUAAUGCCUAGGAAUCUGCCUGGUAGUGGGGGAUAACGUUCGGAAACGGACGCUAAUACCGCAUACGUCCUACGGGAGAAAGCAGGGGACCUUCGGGCCUUGCGCUAUCAGAUGAGCCUAGGUCGGAUUAGCUAGUUGGUGAGGUAAUGGCUCACCAAGGCGACGAUCCGUAACUGGUCUGAGAGGAUGAUCAGUCACACUGGAACUGAGACACGGUCCAGACUCCUACGGGAGGCAGCAGUGGGGAAUAUUGGACAAUGGGCGAAAGCCUGAUCCAGCCAUGCCGCGUGUGUGAAGAAGGUCUUCGGAUUGUAAAGCACUUUAAGUUGGGAGGAAGGGCAGUUACCUAAUACGUGAUUGUUUUGACGUUACCGACAGAAUAAGCACCGGCUAACUCUGUGCCAGCAGCCGCGGUAAUACAGAGGGUGCAAGCGUUAAUCGGAAUUACUGGGCGUAAAGCGCGCGUAGGUGGUUAGUUAAGUUGGAUGUGAAAUCCCCGGGCUCAACCUGGGAACUGCAUUCAAAACUGACUGACUAGAGUAUGGUAGAGGGUGGUGGAAUUUCCCUGUGUAGCGGUGAAAUGCGUAGAUAUAGGAAGGAA